UCUUGGUCAUUUGAGGAAGUAAAAGUCGUAACAAGGUCUCCGUUGGUGAACCAGCGGAGGGUCAUUACCGAGUUUUAAACUCACCAACCCACUGUGAACAUACCUACGUUCUUCGGCGGCGGGCUUCGGCCCCCGCCGGGGACCCAAACACUAUUUUUACCGAUACCUCUGAGUAAAAAACAAAUAAAUCAAAACCUUUAACAACGGACUCUUGGCUCUGGCAUCGAUGAAGAACGCAGCGAAAUGCGAAAAGUAAUUGAAUUGCAGAAUUCAGUGAAUCAUCGAAUCUUUGAACGCACAUUGCGCCGCUGGAACUCCGGCGGGCAUGCCUGUCCGAGCGUCAUUUCAACCCCUCGGCCCCCCUUUCGGGGGCGGGCCUGGUGUUGGGGCUCGGCCGCUACCCCCGGCCGUCCCCUAAAUGCAGUGGCGGCCUCGCCGCAAUCCCUUGCGUAGACUAUACCUCGCACCGGAGCGCGACGCGGCCACGCCGUAAAACCCCCAAUUUCAAUGGUUGACCUCGGAUCAGGUAGGAAUACCCGCUGAACUUAAGCUAUCAAUAAGCGGAGGA
RNAcentral lists this ribosomal RNA (568 nucleotides) under uncultured fungus. Its description in RNAcentral is "eukaryotic LSU rRNA". The stretch from base 193 to 343 matches the Rfam family "5.8S ribosomal RNA". The record is from RNAcentral. Lineage: Eukaryota; Fungi.